GAUGAACGCUGGCGGCGUGCCUAAUACAUGCCAGUCGAGCGAACGGACGAGAAGCUUGCUUCUCUGAUGUUAGCGGCGGACGGGUGAGUAACACGUGGAUAACCUACCUAUAAGACUGGGAUAACUUCGGGAAACCGGAGCUAAUACCGGAUAAUAUUUUGAACCGCAUGGUUCAAAAGUGAAAGACGGUCUUGCUGUCACUUAUAGAUGGAUCCGCGCUGCAUUAGCUAGUUGGUAAGGUAACGGCUUACCAAGGGAACUAUGCAUAGCCGACCGGAGAGGGUGAUCGGCCACACGGGAACGGAGACACGGUCCAGACGCCUACGGGAGGCAGCAGAAGGGAAUCGUCCGCAAUGGGCGAAAGCCUGACGGAGCAACGCCGCGUGAGUGAUGAAGGUCUUCGGAGCGGAAAACUCUGUUAUUAGGGAAGAACAGAUGUGUAAGUAACUGUGCACAGCGUGACGGUACCUAAUCAGAAAGCCACGGCUAACUACGUG
Molecule: ribosomal RNA, 497 nt
Filed under: uncultured bacterium
Lineage: Bacteria
Description: partial 16S ribosomal RNA
Rfam family: Bacterial small subunit ribosomal RNA
Source: RNAcentral